UACAGAGGUCUCAAGCGUUGUUCGGAUUCAUUGGGCGUAAAGGGCGCGUAGGCUGUGGGGCAAGUCGGGUGUGAAAUCUCAGAGCUCAACUCUGAAACUGCACUCGAUACUGCUCUGCUUGAGGACUGGAGAGGAGACUGGAAUUCACGGUGUAGCAGUGAAAUGCGUAGAUAUCGUGAGGAAGACCAGUGGCGAAGGCGGGUCUCUGGACAGUUCCUGACGCUGAGGCGCGAAGGCCAGGGGAGCAAACGGG
RNAcentral lists this ribosomal RNA (253 nucleotides) under uncultured bacterium. RNAcentral describes it as "partial 16S ribosomal RNA". It matches the Rfam family "Bacterial small subunit ribosomal RNA", at positions 524 to 776 of the family's 1533-position model. The record is from RNAcentral.